Molecule: ribosomal RNA, 112 nt
Filed under: Periophthalmus magnuspinnatus
Lineage: Eukaryota; Metazoa; Chordata; Actinopteri; Gobiiformes; Gobiidae
Source: RNAcentral
UGGGGCUUCCAACCUGCACCAUCAAACUCUCUGACCAUCAAUCAGAAGCUAAGCAGGGCUGGGUCUGGUUAGUGCUUGGACGGGAGACCUCAGGGAACACCAGGUGCCACAG